This 253-nucleotide ribosomal RNA is filed under the name uncultured bacterium. RNAcentral describes it as "partial 16S ribosomal RNA". It matches the Rfam family "Bacterial small subunit ribosomal RNA", at positions 524 to 776 of the family's 1533-position model. The record is from RNAcentral.
UACGAAGGGGGCUAGCGUUGUUCGGAAUCACUGGGCGUAAAGCGCACGUAGGCGGAUCUUUAAGUCAGGGGUGAAAUCCCGGGGCUCAACCCUGGAACUGCCUUUGAUACUGAGGAUCUUGAGUCCGGGAGAGGUGAGUGGAACUGCGAGUGUAGAGGUGAAAUUCGUAGAUAUUCGCAAGAACACCAGUGGCGAAGGCGGCUCACUGGCCCGGAACUGACGCUGAGGUGCGAAAGCGUGGGGAGCAAACAGG